GUAACUGCGAGUGAAGCGGGAAAAGCUCAAAUUUAAAAUCUGGCAGUCUUUGGCUGUCCGAGUUGUAGUCUGGAGAAGUGUUUUCCGCGCUGGACCGUGUACAAGUCUCUUGGAAUAGAGCGUCAUAGAGGGUGAGAAUCCCGUCUUUGACACGGACCGCCAGUGCUUUGUGAUGCGCUCUCAAAGAGUCGAGUUGUUUGGGAAUGCAGCUCAAAAUGGGUGGUAAAUUCCAUCUAAAGCUAAAUAUUGGCGAGAGACCGAUAGCGAACAAGUACCGUGAGGGAAAGAUGAAAAGCACUUUGGAAAGAGAGUUAAACAGUACGUGAAAUUGCUGAAAGGGAAACGCUUGAAGUCAGUCGCGUUGUCCAGAACUCAGCCUGGCUUUUGCUUGGUGCAUUUUCUGGAUAACGGGCCAGCAUCAAUUUUGAUCGUUGGAUAAAGGUCUUGGGAAUGUGGCACCUUCGGGUGUGUUAUAGCCCUUGAUUGCAUACAACGAUUGGGAUUGAGGAUCUCAGCAUGCCUUUAUGGUCGGGGUUCGCCCACGUUCAUGCUUAGGAUGCUGGCGUAAUGGCUUUAAUCGACCCGUCUUGAAACACGGACCAAGGAGUCUAACAUGCCUGCGAGUAUUUGGGUGGUAAACCCGAGUGCGCAAUGAAAGUGAAAGUUGGGAUCUCUGUCGCGGAGAGCACCGACGCCCGGACCAGACCUUUUGUGACGGUUCCGCGGUGGAGCAUGUAUGUUGGGACCCGAAAGAUGGUGAACUAUGCCUGAAUAGGGUGAAGCCAGAGGAAACUCUGGUGGAGGCUCGUAGCGAUUCUGACGUGCAAAUCGAUCGUCAAAUUUGGGUAUAGGGGCGAAAGACUAAUCGAACCAUCUAGUAGCUGGUUCCUGCCGAAGUUUCCCUCAGGAUAGCAGAAACUCAUGUCAGAUUUAUGUGGUAAAGCGAAUGAUUAGAGGCCUUGGGGU
This 966-nucleotide ribosomal RNA is filed under the name Climacocystis borealis. Its description in RNAcentral is "eukaryotic LSU rRNA". It matches the Rfam family "Eukaryotic large subunit ribosomal RNA", at positions 83 to 1036 of the family's 3401-position model. The record is from RNAcentral. Lineage: Eukaryota; Fungi; Basidiomycota; Agaricomycetes; Polyporales; Climacocystaceae.